ACGGAUCCUUCGGGAUUAGUGGCAGACGGGUGAGUAACGCGUGGGAAGCUACCUUGUGGUAGGGGACAACAGUUGGAAACGACUGCUAAUACCCUAUGAGCCCUAUGGGGGAAAGAUUUAUCGCCAUGAGAUGUGCCCGCGUUAGAUUAGCUAGUUGGUAAGGUAAUGGCUUACCAAGGCGACGAUCUAUAGCUGGUCUGAGAGGAUGAUCAGCCACACUGGGACUGAGACACGGCCCAGACUCCUACGGGAGGCAGCAGUGGGGAAUAUUGGACAAUGGGGGCAACCCUGAUCCAGCCAUGCCGCGUGUGUGAUGACGGCCUUAGGGUUGUAAAGCACUUUCAGCAGUGAAGAUAAUGACAUUAACUGCAGAAGAAGCCCCGGCUAACUUCGUGCCAGCAGCCGCGGUAAUACGAAGGGGGCUAGCGUUGUUCGGAAUCACUGGGCGUAAAGAGUACGUAGGCGGACUGAUAAGUUAGGGGUGAAAUCCCAAGGCUCAACCUUGGAACUGCCUUUGAUACUGUCAGUCUUGAGAUCGAGAGAGGUGAGUGGAACUCCGAGUGUAGAGGUGAAAUUCGUAGAUAUUCGGAAGAACACCAGUGGCGAAGGCGGCUCACUGGCUCGAUACUGAC
RNAcentral lists this ribosomal RNA (632 nucleotides) under Pseudovibrio sp. Pv272. Its description in RNAcentral is "bacterial SSU rRNA". It matches the Rfam family "Bacterial small subunit ribosomal RNA", at positions 66 to 744 of the family's 1533-position model. The record is from RNAcentral. Lineage: Bacteria; Pseudomonadati; Pseudomonadota; Alphaproteobacteria; Hyphomicrobiales; Stappiaceae.